Molecule: transfer RNA, 68 nt
Filed under: Chthamalus malayensis
Lineage: Eukaryota; Metazoa; Arthropoda; Thecostraca; Balanomorpha; Chthamalidae
Description: tRNA-Leu
Rfam family: tRNA
About the family: Transfer RNA (tRNA) molecules are approximately 80 nucleotides in length. Their secondary structure includes four short double-helical elements and three loops (D, anti-codon, and T loops).
Source: RNAcentral
UCUGAAGUGGCAGAUUAGUGCAAUAGAUUUAAGAUCUAUAAAAAAAGGUUUAAACCCUUUUUUCAGAA